GGAGGUAUCCGAAUGGGGAAACCCACCCAGUUUACUGGGUACCUUGCACUGAAUACAUAGGUGUAAGGGGCGAACGCGGAGAACUGAAACAUCUAAGUACCCGCAGGAAAAGAAAUCAACCGAGAUUCCCAAAGUAGCGGCGAGCGAAAUGGGAUUAGCCCUUAAGUUACAGUGGAUUUAGCAGAACGCUCUGGAAAGUGCGGCAAUAGAGGGUGAUAGCCCCGUAUGCGAAAGGUCCAUUGUAGUGAAAUCGAGUAGGUCGGG
Molecule: ribosomal RNA, 264 nt
Filed under: Heterosigma akashiwo
Lineage: Eukaryota; Raphidophyceae; Chattonellales; Chattonellaceae
Description: partial Bacterial large subunit ribosomal RNA
Rfam family: Bacterial large subunit ribosomal RNA
Source: RNAcentral